AACCAUGGCAAACACGCGAUACCAGGAGCGCUUCGCCAUGUACGCGUGACAUCAUGUCGACGUCUGUGCGUGACACAUCGUCCGUCCGUGGCCACGUCGAAAGUGACGGUGCACCCCUCGGCGCGUCGAGGAGUGUCAACGGAACGAGACCCCGAUCUACCGGUCCACGACAACGCGGAUGCAGGAUCGCAUAGACCGCGUUCUCGCGAUAUCGCGACUCCAUGGAUCGAUCACGCGCGAAAGACUCGCCGUGAUCUGGGAAUGUCCCGUCGCGGAUAAUCGUCGAUCAUCGAGCGACGUUGCUGCCGGGAUGGACGAAAUCCUGGAGGAAGGAUUCAACUGAUACGCGUCUAAGCCGGAGAUCCUGGAAAACUGUGCGACCGGCCAAAGGGCCGGCUAGAAACAGUACCUCUUCUUACUCAAGCAAAGAGGAUCAAGAAACCUUAUCGUACUUGCCGACGAAGAAAAAGAAUUAGAGGAGAGAGAAGGCGACGAGGUGGAAGAAAGAGAGAAAAGGGAAAUAGAGGAGAGCAGGGGACCCCUAAACCUAGCCUAGGGAAGAUAAGUAACCUGGAGAUGGGCGUAGGCAGAAAGAUGGAAUCCCGGGCGAGACACUCGAAGAUCUCGUGAUUGGUGUCAGCGCCUGGCUGAGGGGAUCAAGGUCGAUCACGGAGAUCGACCGUGAUGGAGGCGAGAGCGAAUGACUCGUUCGUCAAGUCGAUCCUACGAAACCUCUCGCUGAUCCGCGAGCAUCGGCACCCGGACGAGCCGCCUGGAAGAGAGGUGGCCACAAACGCUAUCGAUGUUGUCACCACGACCGUGCAGGAGGAGAAGAUGGCGGACUUUCUGGGCGAUGCCUUCGCGAGGAAUGACAGCGACGUCGAGGGCGGCGAGUCCGGUUGGUUCAACGACUCGACGACCGCCGCCGUCUCGACCCUGUCCGCCUCCUCGUCCUACGCGGACUCCACGUCGUCGUAUUCCACCACGAGUGUCGACAACUACACCGGCAGCGUGUCCGACCUUUUCGCCUUCGACGACCUGAGCGACUACAUCAACCGACUGAACUACAGCGUCCUCGUGAACCUGACGGCCUACUACGACGACGGCGCGGGUCUGAAUUUCAGCAGCGUCAAUUGCACGUCGUCGAUAGUCGCCGGGGGUGCCGUUAGGCCGGGCGAGUGCGCUGGAACCGCCGGCGUCGACGAGAAGUCUAACGCGAACAGCUGGUGGGCCCUAAUACUCGUGAUCGUGCCGUGUUUGACGCUCUUCGGUAACGUGCUCGUCAUCCUAGCGGUGGUGAAGGAACGUGCGCUGCAGACUGUCACUAACUACUUCAUCGUCAGUUUGGCGGUCGCCGAUCUUCUCGUCGCGGUGCUCGUUAUGCCGUUCGCGGUCUACGUGCUGGUGAACGGAUCUUGGAGCUUACCUGGGUUUGUUUGUGAUUUUUAUAUCGCAAUGGAUGUGACUUGCAGCACCAGCUCUAUAUUCAAUCUCGUGGCUAUUUCGAUAGACAGAUACAUAGCGGUGACCCAGCCGAUAAAGUACGCGAAGCACAAGAACAAUAGAAGAGUAUGGUUGACGAUACUGUUGGUCUGGGCGAUAUCGGCCGCGAUCGGUAGCCCGAUUGUCCUUGGUCUGAAUAACACUCCGGACCGGAUACCGGACCAAUGUCUGUUCUACAAUACGGAUUUUAUCAUCUACUCGAGCCUGUCCAGCUUCUACAUACCCUGCAUCAUCAUGGUAUUUCUUUACUACAAUAUAUUCAAGGCUCUGCGAAACAGAGCGAAAAGGGCUCGUGCUAGCAAAAAACCGAAUUUAAGCAAUAUAAAACCGGGGAGCAUCAUCGAAAAUAUCGCGCACACGCGUAGUGGGUAUUCUGUGGCAAGGUUCGCGGAAACGGCGCUGGGGGCGGCCGCCCUGGUGGCACCUGGGAUCGAGGAACCGACGAACACCGCUUCCGGCAGCAACGAGGACGAGGAUGAGACGCCCCUCGAUCCCGUCGUCGUCAUCUCCAAUGACAAGAGCACGGAAUUCUUUUUAGCCACGGUCGUCGAGGAAGCAGCUUGUCGUUUCAGCGCGGUGGCACAGGCCCAGCUGACCGGAGCACCACACGUGCAGCGGCAAGACUCCAGCGGAUACGACGUCGCGGCGAGCAGCACGAUGAUCCACGAGCCGCUCGAGACGAAUUCGAGUCCGAGCCCGAAUCCGCGGGUCACGUCGGGCCCGCCGUCCUCGUCGACUUCGUCGUCGCCCCCGCCAACGCGAGGCGCAACCAGCGUGUCCUCGGCCACGCAGACGAAGAGGAACGGUAACAACGGCGGCGCGAACAAGCAGGAGCUGAAGCGACUGAAGAGCGCCGGCUCGCUGCUGCCGCUGCAGCUCGCGAGAACACCCAGCGUGCUGUCGUCCACCUGCAAGAAGGACCGGAAGAACGCGUCGGCCGGGUCAAGGUUCACGAUAUACAAGGCCAACAAGGCUAGUAAAAAGAAGAGAGAAAAGAGCUCAGCCAAGAAGGAGCGCAAGGCCACGAAGACUCUGGCGAUCGUGUUAGGUGUCUUUCUAAUAUGCUGGGUGCCCUUCUUCACUUGCAACAUCAUGGACGCAAUUUGCACGAAGCUGACAGGGGCUUGUCAACCUGGUGUUACAGCCUUCAUCGUCACUUCCUGGUUGGGCUACAUGAAUAGUUUCGUGAAUCCCGUAAUAUACACUGUGUUCAACCCCGAAUUCCGUAAGGCCUUCCGCAAGCUGAUCAGCGUAUAAGCGAGCGAUUUACCUGCUUCCAUCGCUGAAGAAGAGAUACAGGACAGCAAACGUAAUUCGGUGUGAAUCGUCGUAUUUGUGAUGUAACAACAAGACUGUAGGCUCUCGGCAAACUUGCAACAGGUGAUCAAUGCGGCUGUGUAUACUCCUCAAGACUUUUCCGUCGAGCUGCGAGACGAUGCGGAUCAACGAUCCACGCUGUACUUUCAUCAAAAUCAACCGUGGAGCAUCGUUUAACAGGACUGCGACUGCUUGGACGAAAGAGAGUGAAAGUUUCUCUGAAGUACUUAAUUAAUUUUUCUCGUUUAGUACCGUUUAACAACCUAGUUAACGAUCUCACUAAGAAAGAAUAUACGUUUAUCAUUUUUUAUACGAGUUAUGGCACGAGACGUUAUCGCGUUUCUUGAUGAUAAUAUGUAAACGUUUUAUAUUUCAGAUAUAUUCGAUAUUGUCGUGAUUUAUAGAUAUGCAUUAAUACCUAAAUCUUAAUAAUAUUUAGUAACAACUUUGAAUUUUAAAAGGUUAUAAUACAAUACACAUUACGGCGUCUUGAUGCAAAAGAGUUAUACUGUAAGUAUAUUUUCACGUUUUAUUUGUUUAAUAUCCGUGGGAGUCUAUAUUAGAACAACAGGAAUUAAAACCAGUACGAUCUCCCAAGACUUUACAUUUAUAUAUUUAUGCGUAACAAAAUAGAAAUUCGCAGAUUUAGCAUAAAAUACAUUUCUCCAUUUCUAUUGCGUGAGAAAUUAAACUCGUCGAUUUCAAUUUGGGAGAAAAGGACAAACAUAUCCGCACGUCGGGCCUUUACGACGCGAGGGAGACGCGCGCAGAAACGCAGAAUACGAUCUAUGUUCUGUGUUUGAUUAAUCCAUGUAGAGGUUCAUGACUUUCCUCGCAAUCGCGAAGUUCAGGUUUCAACUAAUAUUUGAUCGACGUAAUGUGAGCAUCUCAAAUCACGUUCACGUCGAAAUGCAAUGGUUUCAUCGGAUUUCAAAUAUAAGCGAAGUGAUUAGCGCAUAUCUGGAGGGAGCAUGUAUAAUAUAAUUGAUCAAUUUGGAUGAUGUUUAAAAGUGAUUUGUUUAUAAAGCGAAUAAUGACAUUAAAUAAUAUACAAUUAUAAACUUAUGAUAAACUCGCGCACAGAGAGAGGGAGAGAGAAAUAGAGAAAUAGAGAGAGAGAAAGAUUAAUCUGAUGGGAGGAGUAUUAUGUAAUUCGUUAAUAUUAAAUUGUUAAAGAUAUAAUAUUAGAUCAUCAAGAGAUGCGGCAGCGUCUCGAUGCCAGGUGCAUAAAAUCAAUCAACCGAACGUGACUGUGUUCAUUGCAUGAAUAUCGAGCGCUACCAUUACCUUUUUAUCGGGGAAGUUUUACGUCAAGCAUGCUUUCGAUUACAUUUCUUCGAAAGUUUCAUGAUAAAAAAAAAUCUAACGACGCUUUUCUUGCAUGACGUCUAAGUAAGCUCCUGAUUGCAGUCGCUCCGAACAAAAUUGGCGCUGUCAAUUCGGAAAUCUCGAGAUCUAUGCUAAGAGCGAUAAUUUCGCUUCUGCAGUUUCGCGUGUGCAUCGUAAGCGACUUUUAUCCCUCCAGCCAGCAUUCGCAAGCUCACGGUUUGAAAUGUGUUCAGAUUUAAGAAAUUUGUCGUGUUUGGAAUUAAAGUAGAAGAAACUUUGUAGAUAAUUUUACUUUUCGAAAAGAAUGAUCGACUAAUUGGUUAAUUUUGUCUAAAUUUACUUCUGCUUCUGGAAAUCGCUAACAAUUAAGACCGUGCAAAUUUCUUACUUAAAGUAUUACUUUUAUCUCAAGGUCUUUUUUUUUAGUCCAGAUGUAAGUUUUUGCACGAUCCGGAAGCGUUGCGAGCAAAUCAUGAUAUCUCGUUCGUUUCGAUGUAUGUCACGCGCGUCCGCGUUGUUGCAAUAACGUCUACAAUCAAAGCUUUUUACUGGGUUUUUUGAAUGCUGUACGACGUAGCUUUUAAGCCUCCGAUGUAUAUUUGUAAAUAUUCUAGACGAAUGGUACUGUCAAUCCUAUGUAUAUCGUUACGUACAGCUUCGUGUUACAUGUGGCGCGGUUUACGACGUCGAUCCGAUCGAGUUGUUUUAGAUAAAACGCAGUUCGCGUACGUUUCAUCCGCGUGAAACUUGGUGCGGUCACUUGCGAUAAAUGGACACGUGUGCUCCGAGCUUGACAAACGUCCAGCCGCAGAAUCGAACGACGUUUGUCGUCAUCGGCGAGCUCUUCGCAUGAUGCUUUUUUGCAAAACGCGAAAAAUUGCUUCGUUAGUUUAAUUCUACGCGUCAUUGUGUCAAAUGUUUCGCAACUCCGGGAUAAUCACGCAACACGGCUUCCCUCUUAAUACGCUAAUAACGCUCUCCGUUUCGGUGUUUUGUAUAAUCGGUAUGUUUGCCCUGUUUAAAAUAAUAUGCAAACUAAUGAAGAUUAAUGGUAAAUUUGUAAAGUCUUCCUGCGAAAAAACGUUACGAAGACGAAAAUUGUCGCAAGCGGAACCUCUUAAAAAUCUCGCGAAUUCUGUUUCUUAGAAUUCUGCUGUUGCCAGUUUUCCGUCGACUAUACUUUUAACUUCUUUCUCCGUGAAACACGGCAACAGCAUUUUGGCAAUGCGCAAGACAAUAUCCGCGUUACGAUAACGUUUAAAAGUUUCUCGGGGAGAAACACGAGAACGGCUCCGUCGUGGAAUGAAAUACGGCUUGACGUCGGAAGCGAAGAGAGAGAGACGCCGCGGACUUAAAGCCGCGGCUUUCAAUUCGGGGAUAUAAAUCUUUUAAUUUAUGUAAACCCCCCCCUCUUUUCGAAAGAUAUAAAACCUACUUAAGUCGCUUCGGUCACAAUGAAUCCGCGCAAGCCGGCUGUGAAGUUUUAAGUCCUUUUCAUAACUCCGUCGGGAAGUUUGUCGACUUUCUCUCUCUCGCUUGUCGACCGAUCGUCAUCUCUCGACUUAUCCCCUGCGGGAAAGCCGCCUCCGUCUCGUCUUCACCUUCCGUAGAUCGCGCCAUGUGCCACUUAACGUCGUUGUUAAAGGGUAAGGAGACUUCCGGACGAAGUCGAUCGCUUCUUAAUUAGCGAAGUUCGCACGCUCUGCUUUCCAUAUCGCUAACGAAGCGCAGAGGACAAGUAUGGCGCAUAUUCCAGCGCGAUCCCCGCGAAAUCCUUGCAUUUCCAUAGUCGAUCUCGAGAGCCAUAUUCUCAUCCCCGUGUUGCGUCUUCGCGUUUAGCACUGUAACUAAGUGGCUGUCUGAUCCCGAAGUCUCAUCCUCAGAGGCCAAUUAAUAAAAUGAAGACGCGUAUCAGGUGGCUACAUUCAGUGCUAAAUGCAUGAUGAAGAUACGGGUCCCACAAUCUGACGAUUUAGAUUAUUUAGAAGAAUAUAUGUAUAAGCGUGAGAUUUAACGGUUCCAGACGAAGAUAUGACGGGUAGCCAAAAAUAUAUUCGUGCGAGGAGAGAAAGAGUGUGAGAGAGAGAUAGAAAGAAAGGGAGAGCCUAGUCUUCUGUUAUAUAGCGUGACACUUCGAAAGAUGUUAGAAAAUUCUUAUAAUCCUGAGUAAAAUGGCUGUAUUUUUCUAACCUGAUACUUUCCCCUCUGUACAUAUAUACGCGACACAUGUAUAUGAUAUGUAUUGAUAGACACAUAACGACACGUGCGUGAAGACGAUGUCACAAUUUGCGGGGGCAAGUUAACGUAGGCACUGUAUAUCUGUGUAAAUAUAUGUCUAAUUGGGGAAGCAUGUUGCGUCUGUUUGUGUACACGUUUGUGUGCGUGAGAGAGUACGACGAAGUUUCCCCUGAUGAUUCCCAAUUGAGUGUAAAUUACUACAGAAACUUCUUGUUUGCGCGAAACGAUCACGUCGGCACGUUGUCUUUCGAGGAUGAAAGUGUUGGAAUGCUAUAACGUUAAAAAAAAGAGAGAGAGAUAUAUAUAUUAUACAUAGUAUAUUAUACGACGUACGCGCGUAUGUUACGCCGAUGCGUGAGAUCGGAUGCUGUGUUUUCCUAUGGAUUUCUUAUUUAUUAUCACCAAUGGUCUAUACAGGGCAUAGGUUUAAGAAAAGAACCUUUAAUUUGCUGAGAUUUAAUCUGCGAGAAAAUAAGAACGUAAAAAAAUAUUUAAAAAAUGCUGUAUGUAUAUUGAAGGCAAUACCUAUACAUACCUAAGAGAGCGUGAAAAAUACGCGAAAACACGUUUCACACGCGACAUGAACAUACAUACACACAAAACAGGACAGUUGUUAAAAGUAAUAAAUUAUAGUAUAAAUUAAAAGUGAUC
This is an RNA transcript of Temnothorax curvispinosus, 7038 nucleotides long. It is a transcript of the gene named dopamine D2-like receptor, with no coding region annotated. The record is from RefSeq and is a predicted model, not a curated record. Lineage: Eukaryota; Metazoa; Arthropoda; Insecta; Hymenoptera; Formicidae. The transcript has 9 exons.